AUACGUAGGUGGCAAGCGUUAUCCGGAUUUAUUGGGUGUAAAGGGUGAGUAGGCGGGCUUGUAAGUCAGAUGUGAAAUGCAGCUGCUCAACAGCUGAAUUGCAUUUGAAACUGCGAGUCUUGAGAGUCGGAGAGGUAAUUGGAAUUCCCAGUGUAGCGGUGAAAUGCGUAGAGAUUGGGAGGAACACCAGUGGCGAAGGCAGAUUACUGGACGACAACUGACGCUGAUACACGAAAGCGUGGGGAGCAAACGGGAUUAGAUACCCUGGUAGUCCACGCCGUAAACGAUGAAUGCUAGGUGUGGGGCAGAAAUGUUCCGUGCCGCAGUUAACACAAUAAGCAUUCCACCUGGGGAGUACGGCCGCAAGGUUGAAACUCAAAUGAAUUGACGGGG
Molecule: ribosomal RNA, 393 nt
Filed under: uncultured bacterium
Lineage: Bacteria
Description: partial 16S ribosomal RNA
Rfam family: Bacterial small subunit ribosomal RNA
Source: RNAcentral